RNAcentral lists this long non-coding RNA (497 nucleotides) under Lupinus angustifolius (narrow-leaved blue lupine). RNAcentral's name for it is "long non-coding RNA (LANG_LNC001355)". The record is from RNAcentral. Lineage: Eukaryota; Viridiplantae; Streptophyta; Magnoliopsida; Fabales; Fabaceae.
GUGGCAUGCAUAUUGCAGAAAUCAUCGAUUAUAUGUUCCUCUUCAAUUUCCAUUACAUCAGUAAUAGUAGCUACUCAAACUCAAAUACACAUAAGAAGAAAAAGCCAAAAAAAAUAUAUGCUAAUACCCAUGAACAAUCCUAGAACACUUAUCUUUAAUCCAUUGGAUUCCAUUUCUGAACGUAGCCUUAACCUUCCCCUCCACUUUAUAAACUUUAUACCUCGCUAAUCUCUUCUUUCUCUUCCCCUCCGCAUCACCGCAAUCCCACGGUUUCCCCACCGCAGCUCCGCCGUAACUCGACCGGGCCAUCUCCGGAUCCAACCCAUACUUCUUACUCGAACCGUAACCGCUUUUACCGCUUACAAUCUGAGACCGGUGACCCGAUCCGUAGCCAUCCAUGGUGGUCAGAGAUAUGUGGUGGGAACUUGUUACUGAUGAGUGGUGAGGUUUUUUUUUUUUUACAUAUAGAAGUGGUGCUUUUAGGUUAAAGUUUCGAG